GUCCUUGUCGAUUAGUGGUUAGAUCAUCACGUUGUGGACCUUUGGCCCUUAUAAACCGUGAAGACGAAGGCUCGAAUCCUUCCUGGGACA
This is a non-coding RNA of Lentinus tigrinus ALCF2SS1-7, 90 nucleotides long. The record is from the annotation of a GenBank genome assembly. Lineage: Eukaryota; Fungi; Basidiomycota; Agaricomycetes; Polyporales; Polyporaceae.